Long non-coding RNA from Gossypium arboreum, 328 nucleotides. RefSeq lists it as uncharacterized. The transcript is spliced from 3 exons. NCBI's taxonomy places the organism in Eukaryota, Viridiplantae, Streptophyta, Magnoliopsida, Malvales, Malvaceae. The record is from RefSeq and is a predicted model, not a curated record.
AUACUGAAAUUGAGCUUCAACCAGAUAUGACUUAUUCAGAAGAACCAGUGAAGAUUUUGGCUCGUGAAGUUAAGGAAUUGCGGAACAAAAGAGUACCAUUGGUUAAAGUAUUAUGGCAUCGACAUGGUAUGGAGGAGGCAACCUGGGAAACAGAGGAGUCAAUAAGAUCACAGUAUCCAAAUCUAUUUUCAGAUCAAGAAUCCAAAGAAGAACGAGGAAAAGAAAAAGUUGCGGAAUAGUCCCAAAAUUUCAAUAUCUUCUACAAAUUAGUCGGAUUGACUUGAAGUGAAGUGGGUAGAUCGGAUCAACACAACAAAGCACACUAUCC